RNAcentral lists this unclassified non-coding RNA (336 nucleotides) under soil metagenome. RNAcentral's name for it is "partial contains 5.8S ribosomal RNA, internal transcribed spacer 2, and large subunit ribosomal RNA". The stretch from base 1 to 120 matches the Rfam family "5.8S ribosomal RNA", at positions 35 to 154 of the family's 154-position model. The record is from RNAcentral.
GAUGAAGAACGUAGCGAAAUGCGAUAAGUAAUGUGAAUUGCAGAACUCAGUGAAUCAUCGAAUCUUUGAACGCACAUUGCGCCCGCCAGUAUUCUGGCGGGCAUGCCUGUUCGAGCGUCAUUUCAACCAUCAAGCCCCAGGCUUGUGUUGGGGACCUGCGGCUGCCGCAGGCCCUGAAAACCAGUGGCGGGCUCGCUGUCACACCGGGCGUAGUAGAUUUUAUCUCGCUCAGGGCGUGCUGCGGGUUCCGGCCGUUAAAAAGCCUUUUUUACCCAAGGUUGACCUCGGAUCAGGUAGGAAGACCCGCUGAACUUAAGCAUAUCAAUAAGCGGAGGA